Nilaparvata lugens (brown planthopper) is the source of this 195-nucleotide long non-coding RNA. RefSeq lists it as uncharacterized. Lineage: Eukaryota; Metazoa; Arthropoda; Insecta; Hemiptera; Delphacidae. The record is from RefSeq and is a predicted model, not a curated record. The transcript has 2 exons.
AUUAACGUCGAACGCUUAGCUCUAGGGACAAACUAAUUCCGCUAGAUCGCUCCAGCUGUACUAUUCACUUGCUGGUACACAUACCAGCGGCUAUUAUUGUGUCUAUAAAAGAAGUUUAAGCAUCAACUUUAUUCAUCAAGAACAGCGCUACAAGUUGCUAUGAAUUUGAAGUCUAUAGAACAAACAUUGAAUGUG